This 387-nucleotide ribosomal RNA is filed under the name uncultured bacterium. RNAcentral describes it as "bacterial SSU rRNA". It matches the Rfam family "Bacterial small subunit ribosomal RNA", at positions 88 to 507 of the family's 1533-position model. The record is from RNAcentral.
GAGUAAAGUGGCGCACGGGUGAGUAACACGUGACUAAUCUACCCUCGAGUGGGGAAUAACCUAGGGAAACCUGGGCUAAUACCGCAUAACACUUACGAGUCAAAGCAGCAAUGCGCUUGGGGAGGAGGUCGCGGCAGAUUAGCUAGUUGGCGGGGUAAUGGCCCACCAAGGCGAUGAUCUGUAUCCGGCCUGAGAGGGCGCACGGACACACUGGAACUGAAACACGGUCCAGACUCCUACGGGAGGCAGCAGUGGGGAAUUUUGCGCAAUGGGGGAAACCCUGACGCAGCAACGCCGCGUGGAGGAUGAAGUCUCUUGGGACGUAAACUCCUUUCGAUAGGGAAGAUAAUGACGGUACCUAUAGAAGAAGCCCCGGCUAACUUCGUG